GCCCCCAUGCCCUGGGCAUAUGCUUAGCUACUUAUGGAUGGACAAAUAUGAGAUUCGAGCCAGACCACUCGAUCCCAUCUCCGUUAUACACUGUGACCUACCUAACUUGAGACAUGCUCGGGAUAGCCUCCUACGGCAAUAGAAACUUUACACUACAACAUCGCCUGUCAUCCUCUCCAGUCUCCCAUCUCGUGCCCACCUAUAUCUCAAGCUCUACCUAUAUCUCAAGCUUCACCUCAUGCUGAGCUUCCACUAGC
RNAcentral lists this long non-coding RNA (257 nucleotides) under Elaeis guineensis (African oil palm). Its description in RNAcentral is "long non-coding RNA (EGUI_LNC031258)". Lineage: Eukaryota; Viridiplantae; Streptophyta; Magnoliopsida; Arecales; Arecaceae. The record is from RNAcentral.